This 74-nucleotide transfer RNA is filed under the name Candidatus Planktophila versatilis. RNAcentral describes it as "tRNA-Ala". It matches the Rfam family "tRNA". From Rfam's summary of the family: Transfer RNA (tRNA) molecules are approximately 80 nucleotides in length. Their secondary structure includes four short double-helical elements and three loops (D, anti-codon, and T loops). Further hydrogen bonds mediate the characteristic L-shaped molecular structure. tRNAs have two regions of fundamental functional importance: the anti-codon, which is responsible for specific mRNA codon recognition, and the 3' end, to which the tRNAs corresponding amino acid is attached (by aminoacyl-tRNA synthetases). tRNAs cope with the degeneracy of the genetic code in two manners: having more than one tRNA (with a specific anti-codon) for a particular amino acid; and 'wobble' base-pairing, i.e. permitting non-standard base-pairing at the 3rd anti-codon position. Lineage: Bacteria; Bacillati; Actinomycetota; Actinomycetes; Candidatus Nanopelagicales; Candidatus Nanopelagicaceae. The record is from RNAcentral. RNAcentral also lists the same sequence under 5 other names.
GGGGAUAUGGCGCAAUUGGUAGCGCGCUUCCAUGGCAUGGAAGAGGUUAGGGGUUCGAUUCCCCUUAUCUCCAC